Nothobranchius furzeri (turquoise killifish) is the source of this 2153-nucleotide non-coding RNA. The record is from RefSeq and is a predicted model, not a curated record. Lineage: Eukaryota; Metazoa; Chordata; Actinopteri; Cyprinodontiformes; Nothobranchiidae.
GAGGGACGCACCUUCUUGGGCUUGGGGAGGUUUGGCUGCUGCCACUGAGCUGGAGAUGAGACAAGGAGGACUGAGUACAGGGACCAACCACUCUGAAGGAGUUGGAGUCGCCGAGGAGUUUGGGCCUACCGUGAACAUCGAGGCGUGCAGUGCUGGACACGAUGCCGGCUUCGUUCUUGGCAGAAACCGUGUACCAGCCAGCGUCUUCCUUCAGAGCUGGCUGAAUUAUCAUACACAGGACUCGUUCUCCCUCUUCCAGAAGAUCUGAGGGUGAGGAACGCCGGUGACGCGACACUCCAGCCUCACAGGGUGACCCUCAGCGACGCUUGUGUUCUGCAGCUUCUCGAUGAACGAGGGAACCUUAUGCAUCUCUUUGGCUGUGGGCGGAGAGUUUAUUACUGAGCUGCACCGUGAAACCGAAUCAUUCAUGUGUGUGUGUGUGUGUGUGUGUGUGUGUGUGUACCUGCAACAAUGAGCUCCAGGUUGAAGGAGUUCUGGCCGGCUCUGUUGCUGGCGAUGCAGGUGUAGAUGCCCGCGUCGCGGCUCGUCACGGGCUCGAUGACCAGUGAGUGCACGCCGUUCUCCCUCACCAGCAUCUUGUGAGCGGAGUCGGGGCGGAUGGUCUGUCCGUUCAGCUGCCAGACGAGGUCGGGCGUGGGAAGACCACUCACCUGCAGGUGGUUGGGAAAAAAAUGUGUGAGUUCUUGUUCAGCUGGUUUGUGUGUGUGUGUGUGUGUGUGUGUGUGUGUGUGUGUUCACUGGGAUUCUGAACACAGCAGUAUUUGGGUAAUCUUCCUGCAUGAGAGUAACCUACACAGAGCAGAAACCCUACACCUGCCCUGCAAGGCCCACAUGCUCCGAUCACAAGUCCGACAGAAUUCCCAGAAAUUCCAAGGGAACAGCAGAUAUGUUUAAGGAUUUGGAGUCUUUCACAGAUGGAAAGUUCAGAAAGAGACAGAUGAGCUGUAAAUAAAUGUUGUUAAACGUCUGUCGGACAGACUAAUGCAGGUUGUGUUAACUGCAAGGACGAGAGGUGACGACGGAGCGGAAGGAAAACGAUACAUGAGCCGCACGUGUACAGCGCCUCUCAGAGUCAGGACUCCAAAGGGCUUUACACUACAGUGUGUCAUUCACCCAUUCACACACACACUGGUGGGGAUGAGCUACCAUGUAGCCACAGCUGCCCUGGGGCUGCCGAGCACAGGCGCCACCAGUCCCUCCGACCACCACCAGCAGGCAAGGGGGGUUAAGUGUCUUGCCCAAGGACACAACAGCAGAAUUCUCUGUCCGGAGCCGGGAUCGAACUUGCAACCUUCCGAUUACUGGACAGCCCGCUCUACCUGUUGAGCUGCUGCUGCCCCGACGUGCCAAAUCAGCACAAAUGUAAGUAAAUGUGGAAACCUGAUCCCUGAGAAACGACACCUCUGAGUUUUCCGCCUGCUGCGAGUCAUUUAGAUCAACACGACAACCCGGAGAAGCAUCGUCUCUACUGUUGUUCUCUCUCCACGAAGAAGCUGGAAUGCUGAGAACUGGGAACUUUUUCUGUGGCAGCGCUGACUCGGCCUCCCUCUAGACGCUGAGUAAAGGGCGGAUCUGAAACGGUUUCUGCAUCACUGAGACUAACCUCUUGGUUUGGGCUUUUCCUCCAGUUAUUUUAGAGCGAUCCACUCUCUUUGCUUUAUUACAGGCAGCGGCGUGGUGGGGCCAUGCAUCCAUCCAGGCAUCACACACACUACUUUACAUUAAACUCUAUAUUUUGUAAGGUUUAUUUUUCCAUGUUUCAUGGCUUAUCCAGAGUUGGGUCUCCUCUACUGCUUCUGCAGCAGAGCUGUGUGUGUUCUCUUUACCUUACAGUCCAUUCGGCACAAGCGUCCCUCCUGGACGAUGAGGUCACCAGGUGCCUGCAGGAAGUGGGGGCGGAAGUGACGCUCCUGGAUUUUGUCAUUCUCAUCUCCGCUGUCUCUAGACCUGGACCUGGAUCUGGCAGAAGGAUUUAAAACAUUUAAUUAUGAGACGUACAUUUGUACUUUUCUAUUUUAAAUGAGUCACUAUUGAUCAGCAUCAAAUCCACACUUUAGUUUUUAUGCAAGUCCGACAUGUCAUCGUUUAUAUUUUUGUCUAAAAAUAAAAGUUCCCAUGCUGACCACCGUUCA